Molecule: non-coding RNA, 185 nt
Filed under: human gut metagenome
Description: 6S / SsrS RNA
Rfam family: 6S / SsrS RNA
About the family: E. coli 6S RNA was the first non coding RNA to be sequenced, but its function was unknown until recently. It consists of 184 nucleotides that fold into an extended hairpin structure with a large single-stranded internal bulge. The 6S RNA specifically associates with RNA polymerase holoenzyme containing the sigma70 specificity factor.
Source: RNAcentral
AGCCUGCCCUGUUCGCGAAUGUUUCCUUUAUAACCCUACAAGCUACAAUUUUGGGAGCUGUGCUCUCGCAGUGGGUAUGCAGGCCUCCCACAAUAAAAUGCGGACGUUGGAAGCACAAAGCUGUGAGGACAGCACCCACCUGCCAUACGCAGGUUAUCAACGGCAGCUUACGGCAGGGCGGGUAU